RNAcentral lists this transfer RNA (72 nucleotides) under Ictidomys tridecemlineatus (thirteen-lined ground squirrel). RNAcentral describes it as "Spermophilus tridecemlineatus (thirteen-lined ground squirrel) tRNA". It matches the Rfam family "tRNA". Rfam says of the family: Transfer RNA (tRNA) molecules are approximately 80 nucleotides in length. Their secondary structure includes four short double-helical elements and three loops (D, anti-codon, and T loops). Further hydrogen bonds mediate the characteristic L-shaped molecular structure. tRNAs have two regions of fundamental functional importance: the anti-codon, which is responsible for specific mRNA codon recognition, and the 3' end, to which the tRNAs corresponding amino acid is attached (by aminoacyl-tRNA synthetases). tRNAs cope with the degeneracy of the genetic code in two manners: having more than one tRNA (with a specific anti-codon) for a particular amino acid; and 'wobble' base-pairing, i.e. permitting non-standard base-pairing at the 3rd anti-codon position. Lineage: Eukaryota; Metazoa; Chordata; Mammalia; Rodentia; Sciuridae. The record is from Rfam by way of RNAcentral.
GGUGGUGUAGUUCAGUGGUAGAGCACCUGCCUAGCAUGCCCGAGGCCCUGGGUUCCAUCCCUAACACCGCCA